Molecule: ribosomal RNA, 254 nt
Filed under: uncultured bacterium
Lineage: Bacteria
Description: partial 16S ribosomal RNA
Rfam family: Bacterial small subunit ribosomal RNA
Source: RNAcentral
AACGUAGGAGGCAAGCGUUAUCCGGAUUCACUGGGCGUAAAGCGCGCGUAGGCGGUUGGGUAAGUCGGAUGUGAAAGCCCUUGGCUCAACUGGGGGAGGUCAUUCGAUACUGCUCGGCUUGAGGAUGAGAGAGGAGAGCGGAAUUCCCGGUGUAGCGGUGGAAUGCGUAGAGAUCGGGAGGAACACCAGCGGCGAAAGCGGCUCUCUGGCUCAUAUCUGACGCUGAGUGCGCGACAGCGUGGGGAGCAAACGGG